CAUUUGGAGAGACACCUGCAAUAUUUCAUAAAGAUGAAAAUUUAUUUCUAGUGAACUUAUACACUUGUCAAUAAAUAGUAACUUUAAAAUUUUAGUUGAUUGUAAAUGACCUUUUCUAAUUAGGGAGUAAUUAUGACUGUGUGAUUUGAGAAGGUAAUUUUGAACUUGUAACUUUACUGAAUUAUCUCCAGUAUCCUUUUUUAUAAUAUAUACUAGAGUGACUGGUAAUAAAAACUUUAGCAGAAUAUUCUUUCCUUACUACUUUUCAAGUAUAUGCGUUCUUUUGAAGAUGUUGAAGUGAGAAAUUAAAUAUCUGAGAACUGCAAAGGAAAAAUAAUCCAGAACAUAGAAAUUUUAUUAGGAUAAUAAACAACAUCUGCAGAGGUAGAUCACAGGAUGAACUCUUUAUUUUUUAACAAAAUGAAUUUUAAGAUAAAUGUCUUUAUCUGCAGAUGCACCUUAAAACAAGAAAAUGAAGAAAAACAAAUGUUAAUAUGCUGUACCAAAAAAAUAGAGAAGAAUUAGAAAGGAAAGAGAAACAAUAUAAGAAAGAAGUUGAAGCAAAACAACUUGAACUGACUGUUCAAUCACUAGAGAUGAAAUCAAAGACUGCAAGAAAUACUCCAAAUCAGGAUUUUCAUAAUCAUGAAGAAAUGAAAGAUCUGAUGGAUGAAAAUUGCAUUUUGAAGACAGAUAUUGCUAUACUCAGACAGGAAAUAUGCACAAUGAAAAAUAACAACCUGGAAAAAGAAAAUAAAUAUCUUAAGGACAUUAAAAUUGCUAAAGAUACAAAUGCUGCUCUUGAAAAGUGUAGAAAACUCAAUGAGGAAAUGAUAAGAUAAGUUCUGUAAGACAAGAGAUACUCUCAGAAAAAAGUCAUUGGCUUUAGAAACUGUACAAAACGACCUAAGCCAAACACAGCAGCAAAUAAAGGAAAUGAAAGAGAUGUAUCAAAGUGCAGAAGCUAAAGUGAGUAAAUCCACUGCAAAGUGGAACUGUGUAGAAGAGAGGACAUGUCAACUGCAACGUGAAAAUCCAUGGCUUGAACAGCAACUAGUUGAUGUUCAUCAGAAAGAGGAUCAUAAAGAGAUAUUAAUUAAUAUCCAAAGAGGCUUUAUUAAGAGUGGAAAGAAAGACCUCAUGCUAGAAGAGAAAAAUAAGAAGCUAAUGAAUGAAUAUGAUCAUUUAAAAGAAAGUCUCUUUCAAUAUGAGACAGAAAGCAGAAGCAGAAAGAGUAGUAAGUAUCAAGGAAGAUAAAUAUUUUCAAACUUCUAGAAAGAAAAUUUAAACAUUUGGUUCUGGAUACAUGUUGAACCUAGUUGAAUAUAAAAAUCAGUAGAUAAAAAGUGUGUUUACUACACUGUAUAAUUCAUUUACAUGAAGCAUCCAGAGAAGAGAAAUGUAUAGGUACAAAAAGUAGAUUAAUGUUUGCGAAGGGCUGGGGCUGGAAGCUGGUAGUGACUGCUAAUGGGCGUGAGGGAUCUUGCAGUGAUGGAAAUGCUCUAAAGUUGGAUUGUAGAGAUGGCUGCACAGCUCAGAAAAUGUACUGAAAAUCUUUUAACUUUAUGUUAAAACAGAUACAUUCUAUAGUAUGUAAAUUAUAUUUCAACAAAGCUUUUUAAUUAAAAAAAGGAAAAAUAUGUUUACUAUAUCAGCUUAGAAACAUACCUUGUUUCCAUAGAGGUGAGAGAUGAUUUACUUUGAGAGAAGACAUUGUGUCAUCUAUGACAUUUUAUUAGGCACAGAGUCAUAUGUUAAGGUAGAUAGUCCUGUACUGCUGAAAUAAUAAUUUUAAUGUCUUUAUGUUGCCACAUGUUAAGACCAUGAUGAAGUUAUAAAUGGAAAUGUUUACACCUGAAAUGAGUAUUUUCAAAUUAAAAUUUAAUUAAGUGAUUUGCUUCGACACUUAAUUCUAGAUUUCCCAGAUGAACUGAAGUGUAUUGCUGUGUCUUAUAAUAUCUUGCUUUAAGUAGUUUUUUAUAUAUUUUAGUUGGUAUAGCUUUAUUAUUAUUCAUAUUAAUUUAACUUAAAUCUGAAAAUAUGUCAGUCUCAAAUUACGUAUUUCUAUGACCACGUAAUGUUUUAAAGGCACCUACUUGUUAUAAAAUUAUAAUUUAGGGUAAAUGUGGUAAAUUUUAGCAAAACCAUAUUUGAUUUAGUCUUCCCACUGGUAUUCAUAAUUUACUUAGAAUAUUUUUAUUAAUAAUUAGCUCAUAAUUUUUAUUUCAAGGCUCAAUGACUAUCAUUUGAAUAUAACUUUGUCCAGUACAAAGAUACUGUAGCUGCCUGUGAUUUAUGAGUUAGGCAUUAGAUCCCCAUUUUCAGACUAAAGAGGGGUGGCAGGCUUCACGUACAGUGGGAAUGGAGUAAUUACAGGAGGGAGUUGUAGGAGCUUGAAGUCAGAGAGGGAGGUAGAGGCCUGUUUACCUAGGGCCUCAAAGGCCAUUGGAAUUUUACUUUUAUUCUGAGACAGGAAUCUGUUGGAAGGAUUUGAACGGUUGAUUGAAUAUGUUAGGAACUUUGAGGUUGAGUUGAGCUUCUAAGAUGAUUGAAUGGUGGGAUGAAUCUGUUGUAUUAAGAGAAUACCAAUUUGGCAGGAGGAUAACACAUUCUGCAUCCCUCACUGAAUUCAGUAAUAAAUAAAAGUGUGUACAUAUGAUGAAAAGAAGGUGAAUUGAUGUGUGUGAGAUAAUUUUCAACGUAGGUAUGUUAGAGUUAAAUGUUAUUAACAUAAUUUAAUAAUAAGGCAAUUUAUAAAAUCAGUAACAAAAAUAUUUUAUCAGGUGGUUGUGAGACAACUUCAACAAGAAGUGGCUGACAGCCUAAAAAAAUUAACUAUGUUAGAGUCUCCACUGGAAGGUACAUCAUGUUGUCACAUUAAUUUGGGUGAGACACAGGCCUCAAAGAAGAAAUUAUUUCAAGUGGAAAGUCAAGUAUGUAUGGAAUUUAACAUGUCGACAGUUAUUCUGUAGCUGGUUGAAUUAUAUAACAUGUUUUAGGAUACUAAUUUUGGCAGAAGCUUGAUUUUGUACUUUCAUUAUAAUUAAUUAUUUCCAUUUUACUAUCUUUAAAAUGUACUUUUUUUUUUUAUAUUGUGACUUUUGUUCUACCAUUUUGAAAAAGGAUUGCAUACCUAUUCUCUUACAAUAUGUACCCUUGGAAAAGUUGAUAAUUAUACAUCAUUCCUCAGAGAAAAUUGACUUUUUUCCUGUUAAACAUAUAUUCAAGUAAUUUUUGUAUUGCUAUGAUGAGACAGGCCAGAUUAAAUCAGAGGACAAUGUUUAAUGGAAUGUUCCAGAAAAUUGUCUUAUUUCUUCACUUUUGUGAAUGGACACAGAAUCUGUGUCUAUUUCGCAGAUUCUAAGUUAACUUGUAUAGAAAGACCAUUAUACUAUUCUUUGAAAUGUACGUGUUUUAUGUUAAUUUACAAACUAUUUGAAAAGUUAGGCAUUUUCUUUAUUUACCUUUUAUUUAAAAUAUACUAUAAAAGUAUAGAAAUAUUUAGAUCUGAUACAGGAUGUACAUCAAAACUUGAGAGCUGAGAAAAUUAUCUGAUCACCAUUGGAUUUUAAAAACAGUUUCACUGAGAUAUAAUUCAUGUAUCAGACAGUUCAACCAUUUAAAAUGUGCAAUUCAGUAUCUGUUAGUAUAUUCACAGCAUUUUCAUCACCCUGAAAAGCAACCCUACAUCUGCUAGGCAUGACUGCAACCUUCCUCCAUGUCCCUCCACCUACCCCUGUUGUAGGCAACCACCAUCUACUUUUGUCUCCAUAGGUUUGCCUGUUAUGCAUAUUUCAUAUACGUAGAGUUAGACAAUAUGCAGUCCUUUGUGACUGGCUUUUUCCCUUAGCUUAAUGUUUUCAGAAUUCAUGCAUGUUUUAGCACACAUUGGUAGUUGAUUUCUUCUUAUAGUUAAAUGAUACUCUAUUGCAUGGCUAUACUGGUUUUCCAUUAAUUCAUCAGUUGAUGGACCUUUAGGUUAGUUUCCACUUCUAGCUGUUAUGAAAAAUGCUGCUGCAAACAUUCACUUACAGGGUAUUAUGUGGACACGUGUUUUUAUUUCCCUGCCAUUGGACUUUAUCCUCAGAGUUAAUUGGGCAGAUUUCAGCACUUGUCUUGCUCAUGCUAUCCUUUCUGCCUUCUCAGUUUCUGUUCAUCUAGCCUCAUUCAUUCAGACCUGGCAGACAAUUUUUUUGUUUUUAUGAAGCUUUCUCUGACUGUUCUGACUCUGAUUGACCUUAUGUGUUAGGAAUUGUUGUCUAGUCUGUGCAUAAAACUUAGUCCUUAAUUUUUCAUGGCUUUUAUUUUUUUAUGGAAGAUAAUUUUGUCUCAGUGUAAAUUUGCUUAAUGGGGGAAUAAUAUAUAAUAUGUAUGCCACCUAUCCUGCAUACAUUGAAAAUAUUUUAGCUUAGAAGUUUUUAGCAUACAAUUAAAUACUUUAUACCAUACCAAUUAUUUGUUCUUUGAGACCUUGGCACAGUAAGGUUUAUAUUCUAAAUGUAUUUUUAGCAAUUAAAUAUCAAAUCUAAACCAAUUAGUCUAAUAGAGGUGAAUCGUUCAAUCACAUGUUUAUGUUUUUCUCACUAUGAAAAAGAAUCUAAAUUGGCAUUUUUUCACUAUGCAGCCAGAAUUGCGUUUCUGGACUGCUACCAGUUUGUCAGCUGAACAGUUCUGGCUGCAGCUUGUCUGAUGAACAAUAGCACAGCUUCUCAAUCUGAGUGCUCAGCAGAGUGCUUGUGAACCAGCACCACAGCAACAGUUGCUCAGAGGGAACUGAUUCAGGAGCCUUGAUUUAGCAAUAGAGUCCAGGGUUUUCAGCUCAGUGUCUUUAGCCUGUCUCUGCUGGUCAUGUCAGUUAUGUACUAUUCAAUCCAGGAGGUGCUAUUUACAUUGUAGUACAUACAUAGUCAUUGCCUACUCAGUCAUGCACAGAGAAAGGUAAGUUAUAAAUUAUAUGCCCCCCAUUUGCUGCAACUCUCAGUGGUGAGAAGAAUGAUUCAGUGCAGCUGUAGGAGACUACUUCCAUUGGCAUACCACCUGCCUAAUAUACACAAUUUUGUUAAGAUAUACAAUAAAAUUAUUAUGCUAAUAGCAAGUAUUUUAUGUAGCUCACUAUGUUGCACGUACUCUUCUAAGUGCUUCAUGUUAGUCCCCAGUUAAACACCUGGUUGGGGGAGGUGGCUCAUGCCAGUAAUCCUAGCAUUUUGGAAGGCUGAGGCAGGAGGAUCACUUGAGCCCAGGAGUUUGAGAUCAGCCAGAGCAAUAUAAUGAGACCCUGUCUUUAAUAAAUAAA
Molecule: small RNA, 5293 nt
Filed under: Pongo abelii (Sumatran orangutan)
Lineage: Eukaryota; Metazoa; Chordata; Mammalia; Primates; Hominidae
Description: retained intron
Source: RNAcentral